Molecule: ribosomal RNA, 739 nt
Filed under: Bacillus sp. GN-11
Lineage: Bacteria; Bacillati; Bacillota; Bacilli; Caryophanales; Bacillaceae
Description: bacterial SSU rRNA
Rfam family: Bacterial small subunit ribosomal RNA
Source: RNAcentral
GAGGCAGCAGUAGGGAAUCUUCCGCAAUGGACGAAAGUCUGACGGAGCAACGCCGCGUGAGUGAUGAAGGUUUUCGGAUCGUAAAACUCUGUUGUUAGGGAAGAACAAGUACCGUUCGAAUAGGGCGGCACCUUGACGGUACCUAACCAGAAAGCCACGGCUAACUACGUGCCAGCAGCCGCGGUAAUACGUAGGUGGCAAGCGUUGUCCGGAAUUAUUGGGCGUAAAGCGCGCGCAGGCGGUUUCUUAAGUCUGAUGUGAAAGCCCCCGGCUCAACCGGGGAGGGUCAUUGGAAACUGGGGAACUUGAGUGCAGAAGAGGAGAGUGGAAUUCCACGUGUAGCGGUGAAAUGCGUAGAGAUGUGGAGGAACACCAGUGGCGAAGGCGACUCUCUGGUCUGUAACUGACGCUGAGGCGCGAAAGCGUGGGGAGCGAACAGGAUUAGAUACCCUGGUAGUCCACGCCGUAAACGAUGAGUGCUAAGUGUUAGAGGGUUUCCGCCCUUUAGUGCUGCAGCAAACGCAUUAAGCACUCCGCCUGGGGAGUACGGUCGCAAGACUGAAACUCAAAGGAAUUGACGGGGGCCCGCACAAGCGGUGGAGCAUGUGGUUUAAUUCGAAGCAACGCGAAGAACCUUACCAGGUCUUGACAUCCUCUGACAACCCUAGAGAUAGGGCUUCCCCUUCGGGGGCAGAAUGACAGGUGGUGCAUGGUUGUCGUCAGCUCGUGUCGUGAGAUG